GACGGAGGGUGCAAGCGUUAUCCGGAUUCACUGGGUUUAAAGGGUGCGUAGGUGGGCUAGUAAGUCCGUGGUGAAAUCUCCAAGCUUAACUUGGAAACUGCCGUGGAUACUAUUAGUCUUGAAUAUUGUGGAGGUAAGCGGAAUAUGUCAUGUAGCGGUGAAAUGCUUAGAUAUGACAUAGAACACCGAUAGCGAAGGCAGCUUGCUACACAAUCGUUGACACUGAGGCACGAAAGCGUGGGGAUCAAACAGG
RNAcentral lists this ribosomal RNA (253 nucleotides) under uncultured bacterium. RNAcentral's name for it is "partial 16S ribosomal RNA". It matches the Rfam family "Bacterial small subunit ribosomal RNA", at positions 524 to 776 of the family's 1533-position model. The record is from RNAcentral.